RNAcentral lists this ribosomal RNA (598 nucleotides) under Limosilactobacillus mucosae. RNAcentral's name for it is "bacterial SSU rRNA". It matches the Rfam family "Bacterial small subunit ribosomal RNA", at positions 42 to 596 of the family's 1533-position model. The record is from RNAcentral. Lineage: Bacteria; Bacillati; Bacillota; Bacilli; Lactobacillales; Lactobacillaceae.
GUGUGCCUAAUACAUGCAAGUCGAACGCGUUGGCCCAACUGAUUGAACGUGCUUGCACGGACUUGACGUUGGUUUACCAGCGAGUGGCGGACGGGUGAGUAACACGUAGGUAACCUGCCCCAAAGCGGGGGAUAACAUUUGGAAACAGAUGCUAAUACCGCAUAACAAUUUGAAUCGCAUGAUUCAAAUUUAAAAGAUGGCUUCGGCUAUCACUUUGGGAUGGACCUGCGGCGCAUUAGCUUGUUGGUAGGGUAACGGCCUACCAAGGCUGUGAUGCGUAGCCGAGUUGAGAGACUGAUCGGCCACAAUGGAACUGAGACACGGUCCAUACUCCUACGGGAGGCAGCAGUAGGGAAUCUUCCACAAUGGGCGCAAGCCUGAUGGAGCAACACCGCGUGAGUGAAGAAGGGUUUCGGCUCGUAAAGCUCUGUUGUUAGAGAAGAACGUGCGUGAGAGCAACUGUUCACGCAGUGACGGUAUCUAACCAGAAAGUCACGGCUAACUACGUGCCAGCAGCCGCGGUAAUACGUAGGUGGCAAGCGUUAUCCGGAUUUAUUGGGCGUAAAGCGAGCGCAGGCGGUUUGAUAAGUCUGAUGUG